This 460-nucleotide ribosomal RNA is filed under the name uncultured bacterium. RNAcentral's name for it is "partial 16S ribosomal RNA". It matches the Rfam family "Bacterial small subunit ribosomal RNA", at positions 338 to 795 of the family's 1533-position model. The record is from RNAcentral.
CCUACGGGUGGCAGCAGUGAGGAAUAUUGGUCAAUGGGCGCGAGCCUGAACCAGCCAAGUAGCGUGAAGGAUGACUGUCCUACGGGUUGUAAACUUCUUUUAUAAAGGAAUAAAGUGAGGCACGUGUGCCCUUUUGUAUGUACUUUAUGAAUAAGGAUCGGCUAACUCCGUGCCAGCAGCCGCGGUAAUACGGAGGAUCCGAGCGUUAUCCGGAUUUAUUGGGGUUAAAGGGAGCGUAGGUGGGUUGUUAAGUCAGGUGUGAAAGUUUGCGGCUCAACCGUAAAAUUGCAAUUGAUACUGGCAGUCUUGAGUACGGUAGAGGUAGGCGGAAUUCGUGGUGUAGCGGUGAAAUGCUUAGAUAUCGCGAAGAACUCCGAUUGCGAAGGCAGCUUACUGAACUGCAACUGACGUUGAGGCACGAAAGUGUGGGUAUCGAACAGGAUUAGAUACCCGGGUAGUC